Molecule: ribosomal RNA, 920 nt
Filed under: Companilactobacillus crustorum
Lineage: Bacteria; Bacillati; Bacillota; Bacilli; Lactobacillales; Lactobacillaceae
Description: bacterial SSU rRNA
Rfam family: Bacterial small subunit ribosomal RNA
Source: RNAcentral
GAACCAAACCUUUGAUUUGGAGCUUGCUCCUUGAUUUGGACCUUGAUGAGUGGCGGACGGGUGAGUAACACGUGGGUAACCUGCCCAAAAGUGGGGGAUAACAUCUGGAAACAGGUGCUAAUACCGCAUAACAACUACUUUCACAUGAUCGUAGCUUGAAAGAUGGCUCUGCUAUCGCUUUUGGAUGGACCCGCGGCGUAUUAGCUAGUUGGUGAGGUAACGGCUCACCAAGGCAAUGAUACGUAGCCGACCUGAGAGGGUAAUCGGCCACAUUGGGACUGAGACACGGCCCAAACUCCUACGGGAGGCAGCAGUAGGGAAUCUUCCACAAUGGGCGAAAGCCUGAUGGAGCAAUGCCGCGUGAGUGAAGAAGGUUUUCGGAUCGUAAAACUCUGUUGUUGAAGAAGAACAUGCGUGAGAGUAACUGUUCACGUACUGACGGUAUUCAACCAGAAAGCCACGGCUAACUACGUGCCAGCAGCCGCGGUAAUACGUAGGUGGCAAGCGUUGUCCGGAUUUAUUGGGCGUAAAGAGAAUGUAGGCGGUUUAUUAAGUUUGAAGUGAAAGCCCUCGGCUCAACCGAGGAAGUGCUUCGAAAACUGGUAAACUUGAGUGCAGAAGAGGAAAGUGGAACUCCAUGUGUAGCGGUGGAAUGCGUAGAUAUAUGGAAGAACACCAGUGGCGAAGGCGGCUUUCUGGUCUGUAACUGACGCUGAGAUUCGAAAGCAUGGGUAGCAAACAGGAUUAGAUACCCUGGUAGUCCAUGCCGUAAACGAUGAGUGCUAAGUGUUGGAGGGUUUCCGCCCUUCAGUGCUGCAGCUAACGCAUUAAGCACUCCGCCUGGGGAGUACGAUCGCAAGAUUGAAACUCAAAGGAAUUGACGGGGGCCCGCACAAGCGGUGGAGCAUGUGGUUUAAUUC